This 544-nucleotide ribosomal RNA is filed under the name uncultured bacterium. RNAcentral's name for it is "bacterial SSU rRNA". It matches the Rfam family "Bacterial small subunit ribosomal RNA", at positions 777 to 1319 of the family's 1533-position model. The record is from RNAcentral.
AAUAGAUACCCUGGUAGUCCACGCCGUAAACGAUGAGUGCUAAGUGUUAGGGGGUUUCCGCCCCCUAGUGCUGCAGCUAACGCAUUAAGCACUCCGCCUGGGGAGUACGGUCGCAAGACUGAAACUCAAAGGAAUUGACGGGGGCCCGCACAAGCGGUGGAGCAUGUGGUUUAAUUCGAAGCAACGCGAAGAACCUUACCAGGUCUUGACAUCCCACUGACCGCUAUGGAGACAUAGUUUUCCCUUCGGGGACAGUGGUGACAGGUGGUGCAUGGUUGUCGUCAGCUCGUGUCGUGAGAUGUUGGGUUAAGUCCCGCAACGAGCGCAACCCUUGAUCUUAGUUGCCAUCAUUUAGUUGGGCACUCUAAGGUGACUGCCGGUGACAAACCGGAGGAAGGUGGGGAUGACGUCAAAUCAUCAUGCCCCUUAUGACCUGGGCUACACACGUGCUACAAUGGACGGUACAAACGGUUGCCAACCCGCGAGGGGGAGCUAAUCCGAUAAAACCGUUCUCAGUUCGGAUUGUAGGCUGCAACUCGCCUAC